Heterocephalus glaber (naked mole-rat) is the source of this 107-nucleotide small nuclear RNA. NCBI's taxonomy places the organism in Eukaryota, Metazoa, Chordata, Mammalia, Rodentia, Bathyergidae. The record is from Ensembl.
GUGCUUAUUUCAGCAGCACAUAUACUAAAAUUGGAAUGAUACAGAGAAGAUUAGCAUGGCCCCUGCACAAGGAUGACAUGCAAAUUCGUGAAGCAUUCCAUAUUUAA